UGGUAUUCAGCCAGUUCACAAUGGUUCUGGCGACCCGGUAGCAAGAAUUUGGCAUGGGUCGUGGAACUGGUAGCAACUUCUGGCUGACCACGCCCCCGAACCAGUACGUCAGAGGCACUGCCCUGGCCCUUAAUCUCCUCACUUCCUCCCCUACGACUGCCUCUUGCAUCAUCUGUGGCC
Molecule: non-coding RNA, 180 nt
Organism: Pseudonaja textilis
Lineage: Eukaryota; Metazoa; Chordata; Lepidosauria; Squamata; Elapidae
Source: RefSeq, a predicted model, not a curated record